Molecule: long non-coding RNA, 3607 nt
Organism: Carassius gibelio (silver crucian carp)
Lineage: Eukaryota; Metazoa; Chordata; Actinopteri; Cypriniformes; Cyprinidae
Exons: 3
Source: RefSeq, a predicted model, not a curated record
AUACGAUGCUGCGUUCAAAAAAUACAGCAUUUUAAAUCAUAAUUCAAAAUGGCCGACGCCUAAAAUGGCCGACACAGGAAAAUUGGAUAUCAUUUGACUCGACAUGACUCACUGAAUCUAAAGAGACCAGUUGUGUGAUUUUUGGCCAAACCAUUCAGUAGUUAUAAGCCAAAAUAUGCAUUUUUCAUAUCUCCUGACCACUAGGUGGCGCUGUGUCGAAACACUGCAGGUAGUCUCAGUUCAUGCUUGUUAUAACACACGCCAAGUUUGGUCUCAAUAUGACAAACCGUUGCCGGGAUAUAGCCUCACGUGCAUGUUUGCGUGCUUUUCGUCAAAUUUGUUUACGUGUCAUUCGACAACAGUUGGACGAAUCAACUUGAAUUCCAUAACUUUUUGUCAGCAUGGUCUGAAGAUGAUCUGAGCCAAUUUUCGUGGCAAUCGGACUAACCGUCUAGGACGAGUUCGAAAAAGUAGGUUUUUCGAAUAAUUGAAAAUAGCGAAAAAACUAAACCUUGCGAUUUUUGAAUUUUGGGGUUCAUUCGACUUGGCAUGAGCCAAGGAUUCAGAGGAAAAAAGAAUUUCCAUUUUCUGGCUUACGGUUCAAAAGUUAUUAGCAUACAAACAUUGAAAGUUUGGACAAGUGGUGGCGCUAGAGAGUAGGAGAUAGAGACUUCAAAUUUGCUAUAGUUAAUGUUGGGACUGUCCUCUAUCAGUGUGCCAAAUUAUACAACUUUCCCGCAAUCGGUUCUAUGGGCUGCCAUAGACUUGCGGCGGAAGAAGAAGAAGAAGAAAUAUAGCUGCAAGCAGCAAUUACGGGGCCAAGCACUCCAACGGCAAAUGUAGGAGCUAAGCAUCGCAUGAAGCAUCACACCAAAUUCAUUAAUGAGCAAUAACAGCAAUUUUGGAAUUAUUGUAAUUGAAAUGGCAAAAAAAAUUAUAAUACCACCUCUAGUAGCAUGAUUACUUGGCUUAUCAAGCUUGACCAAUAGGUGGCACUGUUAUAAAAUCAAUUUGGUGUACUCUGUGUGACUUUUCAAUGACACACACAAAGUUUGGUGUCAAUAUGCCAAAGCAUUCCAGGGAUGCAGCCUCAAGUGUCAUUUUCUCAUUGUGCCUCAAAUUCGUCGAUGUGGUAUGCGAAAACGGUUUUGUCUAUCGACUCAAAAGCCAUAACUUUGAGUCAGCAUAGUCUGAAGAUCAUUUGAUUCGAAUUUGGUGAAAAUCGGACCUACGGUUGAUGAGGAGUUCGACAAAGUAGGUUUUCAACAUAAAUCAAAAUGGCGGACCGGAAGUUCAGCUUACUAUGGUAUAUUUGGUAUCUAUGUUAUCGGCAUAAACCAGGGAAUAUUUUGAGCCCAGUUCCAUUCGAAUGGGCUAAUGCAAUAAAAAGUUAUUAGCAUUUUUACAAGUGUAAUUAUUCAUGGUUAAUGAAUGGUUUAUUACUCUUGACCAAUAGGUGGCGCUGUUACCAAAUUUAUGUGGCAUGGUCAGUGUGAGGUGGCGAUGACACAUACAAAGUUUGGUGCAAAUAUGUCAAAGUGUUGCAGAGAUACAGCCUCAAAUGCAUUUUGGCACCCUUCCAGCAAAUUCGUUGAUGCGCUAAAUGAGAACCGUUACGUAUAUCGACACAAAAUCCAUAACUUUUUGCCAGCAUGGUCUGAAGAUGAUUCACGUCAAAUUUGGUGAAAAUUGGGCUAACGGUCUAGGAGGAGUUUGAAAAAGUAGGUUUUCAACAUUAAGCAAAAUGGCGGACAGGAAGUAAGGCCAAUUUUCACAUUAUUGGUAUCAAUACUCUCGGCAUGACCCACAGAAUAUAGCGAGACCAUUUUAAUUUUAAUAGACUAAUUUAUUCAAAAGUUAUUAGCGUUUAUGUGAUAUUUCAUUAUAACUAUUGGCCACAAGGUGGCGCUGCCACCAAACUUUUUGAGUACCUUCAGGGCAUGGAGCCGAAUAUUUUUGUAAUUAUUUGCGAAACGAUACGAUGCUGCGUUCAAAAAAUACAGCAUUUUGAAACAUAAUUCAAAAUGGCCGACGCCUAAAAUGGCCGACACAGGAAAAUUGGAUAUCAUUCGACUCGACAUGACUCACUGAAUCUAAAGAGACCAGUUGUGUGAUUUUUGGCCAAACCAUUCAGUAGUUAUAAGCCAAAAUAUGCAUUUUUCAUAUCUCCUGACCACUAGGUGGCGCUGUGUCGAAACACAGCAGGUAGUCUCAGUUCAUGCUUGUUAUAACACACGCCAAGUUUGGUCUCAAUAUGACAAACCGUUGCCGGGAUAUAGCCUCACGUGCAUGUUUGCAUGCUUUUCGUCAAAUUUGUUUACGUGUCAUUCGACAACAGUUGGACGAAUCAACUUGAAUUCCAUAACUUUUUGCCAGCAUGGUCUGAAGACGAUCUGAGCCAAUUUUCGUGGCAAUCGGACUAACCGUCUAGGACGAGUUCGAAAAAGUAGGUUUUUCGAAUAAUUGAAAAUAGCGAAAAAACUAAACCUUGCGAUUUUUGAAUUUUGGGGUUCAUUCGACUUGGCAUGAGCCAAGGAUUCAGAGGAAAAAAGAAUUUCCAUUUUCUGGCUUACGGUUCAAAAGUUAUUAGCAUACAAACAUUGAAAGUUUGGACAAGUGGUGGCGCUAGAGAGUAGGAGAUAGAGACUUCAAAUUUGCUAUAGUUAAUGUUGGGACUGUCCUCUAUCAGUGUGCCAAAUUAUACAACUUUCCCGCAAUCGGUUCUAUGGGCUGCCAUAGACUUGCGGCGGAAGAAGAAGAAUAAUAAUAACGCCAACGAUUACAAUAGGUGCCUACGCACCUUCGGUGCUUGGCCCCUAAUAAAUAUAGCUGCAAGCAGCAAUCACGGGGCCAAGCAUUCCAGCGGCAACAUCAGGAGCUAAGCAUAUGUAGCAUCAGACCAAAUGCAACAAUGAAUAAUGAAAUUAAUAAUUGCAUGAUUGUAAUUGAAAUGGCUGAAAAUCGUUAAUAAAAGUUCCACAGCGAGGAGCUAAGCAUGGCAUGGAGCAUCAGACCAAAUGCAACGAGUAAGAAAAGCAAUUAUUGGAAGAGUGUAAUUGAAACAGCCAGUAAAACUCCAGUAAAAUGAUGCAUUAUCAUUUUUGGAAAAUAGUUGGCGCUGUAAUCAAAUUGCUUUGUUGUGUUCUGUGGGAGGUGACAAUGUUGUGGGCAAUUUCUUUCAAAAUACUUACAGACCUUUAGGGCAAUGAGUCGAACAUGCCCACCGAGUUUCGUUCCGAUCGACUUCUAUUAACCUUGUCAAAUAGGUGCUUAAAGUUGUUUGGCCAAUGGCGGCCAUGUUUUUUAAGAUAAGUGAAAUUCCUCAUAGAGCACUUGUGCCACAUUGGGCCAUAUCAAUUUUCAAGUUGAUUGGAUCAGCGGUUGCUUAGUUAUAGCCAUUUUAGUUUUUUUUUUCAUCCUGUAGCGCCACCAAGUGGCAGAUAUGGAAAAAAAAAUAAUUUGACUAAAGUUUUUGUUCAUGCAUAUGAGUUCUGAGUUUGGUGAAGAUAUCUCAUUUUGUUCCCGAGUUAUAGCCUUUUUCAUAAAAUUGGUCCACGAAUUUGAAUGUUUGGGUCACCUGGUUUUUUGUUCAGUCUUGAUCAAACCA